RNAcentral lists this ribosomal RNA (299 nucleotides) under uncultured eukaryote. RNAcentral describes it as "partial 18S ribosomal RNA". The record is from RNAcentral.
GGAUUAGUCCGNCNAUAGNGCUCUGCCUCUACCGGGGGUCUGGAACCUACCACCACGGUGUCNGCCAGNUGCAGCUCAGAGACUAGGACCAUAUGAAGAGCUUGGACAGUCUGCCNACAUCUCAGUCCUACUGUCCACCCACCUAUAGNACCACAGGCUACAGUAUGGACCCUGUCACAGGCUACCAAUAUGGGCAGUAUGGACAAAGUAAGCCUUGNACUUUUUAGGGGGCAAUUUCUCCUGGAAGGGAGAUAAACUCAACUCUUCCUUAAGAAAGGUGAAUUAGAGGCAANAUUAAA